UGAAAUAUCGGUUCCCGUACGAUCACCGAAGUUAAGCAACGUCUAUCCUGGUCAUUACUUUGAUGGGUGACCACUUGGGAAUAUUAGGUUCUG
Molecule: non-coding RNA, 93 nt
Organism: Acanthosepion pharaonis
Lineage: Eukaryota; Metazoa; Mollusca; Cephalopoda; Sepiida; Sepiidae
Source: the annotation of a GenBank genome assembly